Molecule: ribosomal RNA, 531 nt
Filed under: Pseudoalteromonas sp.
Lineage: Bacteria; Pseudomonadati; Pseudomonadota; Gammaproteobacteria; Alteromonadales; Pseudoalteromonadaceae
Description: bacterial SSU rRNA
Rfam family: Bacterial small subunit ribosomal RNA
Source: RNAcentral
CAGCCUGAUGCAGCCAUGCCGCGUGUGUGAAGAAGGCCUUCGGGUUGUAAAGCACUUUCAGUCAGGAGGAAAGGUUAGUAGUUAAUACCUGCUAGCUGUGACGUUACUGACAGAAGAAGCACCGGCUAACUCCGUGCCAGCAGCCGCGGUAAUACGGAGGGUGCGAGCGUUAAUCGGAAUUACUGGGCGUAAAGCGUACGCAGGCGGUUUGUUAAGCGAGAUGUGAAAGCCCCGGGCUCAACCUGGGAACUGCAUUUCGAACUGGCAAACUAGAGUGUGAUAGAGGGUGGUAGAAUUUCAGGUGUAGCGGUGAAAUGCGUAGAGAUCUGAAGGAAUACCGAUGGCGAAGGCAGCCACCUGGGUCAACACUGACGCUCAUGUACGAAAGCGUGGGGAGCAAACAGGAUUAGAUACCCUGGUAGUCCACGCCGUAAACGAUGUCUACUAGAAGCUCGGAGCCUCGGCUCUGUUUUUCAAAGCUAACGCAUUAAGUAGACCGCCUGGGGAGUACGGCCGCAAGGUUAAAACUCA